GCCCAGCUAGCUCAGUUAGUAGCGUGUGGGACUCUUGAUCUCAGGAUCAUGAGUUUGAGCCCCAUACUGGGUG
Molecule: transfer RNA, 73 nt
Filed under: Pangasianodon hypophthalmus (striped catfish)
Lineage: Eukaryota; Metazoa; Chordata; Actinopteri; Siluriformes; Pangasiidae
Rfam family: tRNA
About the family: Transfer RNA (tRNA) molecules are approximately 80 nucleotides in length.
Source: Rfam by way of RNAcentral